AACGAACGCUGGCGGCAUGCCUAACACAUGCAAGUCGAACGAGACCUUCGGGUCUAGUGGCGCACGGGUGCGUAACGCGUGGGAACCUGCCCUUAGGUUCGGAAUAACUCCCCGAAAGGGGUGCUAAUACCGGAUAAUGUCUUCGGACCAAAGAUUUAUCGCCUUUGGAUGGGCCCGCGUUGGAUUAGCUAGUUGGUAGGGUAAAAGCCUACCAAGGCGACGAUCCAUAGCUGGUCUGAGAGGAUGAUCAGCCACACUGGGACUGAGACACGGCCCAGACUCCUACGGGAGGCAGCAGGUGGGAAUAUUGGACAAUGGGCGAAAGCCUGAUCCAGCAAUGCCGCGUGAGUGAUGAAGGCCUUAGGGUUGUAAAGCUCUUUUACCCGGGAUGAUAAUGACAGUACCGGGAGAAUAAGCUCCGGCUAACUCCGUG
This 433-nucleotide ribosomal RNA is filed under the name uncultured bacterium. RNAcentral describes it as "partial 16S ribosomal RNA". It matches the Rfam family "Bacterial small subunit ribosomal RNA", at positions 29 to 507 of the family's 1533-position model. The record is from RNAcentral.